UACGGAGGGUGCAAGCGUUAUCCGGAUUCACUGGGUUUAAAGGGUGCGUAGGCGGAUUGGUAAGUCCGUGGUGAAAUCUCUAAGCUUAACUUGGAAACUGCCAUGGAUACUAUUAGUCUUGAAUAUUGUGGAGGUUAGCGGAAUAUGUCAUGUAGCGGUGAAAUGCGUAGAUAUGACAUAGAACACCAAUUGCGAAGGCAGCUGGCUACACAAAUAUUGACGCUGAUGCACGAAAGCGUGGGGAUCAAACAGG
RNAcentral lists this ribosomal RNA (253 nucleotides) under uncultured bacterium. RNAcentral describes it as "partial 16S ribosomal RNA". It matches the Rfam family "Bacterial small subunit ribosomal RNA", at positions 524 to 776 of the family's 1533-position model. The record is from RNAcentral.